RNAcentral lists this long non-coding RNA (952 nucleotides) under Homo sapiens (human). Its description in RNAcentral is "HSALNT0291137". Lineage: Eukaryota; Metazoa; Chordata; Mammalia; Primates; Hominidae. The record is from RNAcentral.
UUCGGGGAUGGGUGGAGGUGGGGUUGCUAUAGUUCUGGGAAGCUUUAUGGCCCCCAAAUGUAUACCUGCCACCAACAUCACCAACAUCUGUACCUCAGAGAAACUAAGGCCCUGGCUGGGAUUUUUUUCUCCUGUUUCGCAGACCCCCGUCUGAUGAGCUGAUGGGGUACCUUGUCUCUGUGAGAAUACCUGAAACUGGGUAGUUUACAAAGACAAGGAAUUUAUUUUAUACGGUUCUGGAGCCUGUGAAGUCCAAGGUUGAGGGGCCGCAUCUGGUGAGGACCUCCUUGCUGGUGGGGACUCUGCAGAGUCCAGAGGCCACACAGGAUAUCACAUGGAGGAGCUGACUGAGCCUCAGUGUCCCCAGAUAAGGAGGGGAGUAUGCUCCCAGAAGCGUCUCCUGGGGGGCUAAGUGAAAGCCGGGCCAACCCUUCGUCCAGAGCCCUAUGUCCACGAGGACCAGCCUGGCAGGCACGGGCCCUUCUGGCACCAGCGUCCUGAAGGGCUGAGCAGUUGGUGACUGGAUAAUCCUUUUCUGAGUGUAUCAUGACCUCUGGUUGUGUGAGGAAGCCCAGAGACCGACUAUGGCUUCCUUGGGCUUCCAGAACAUUCUUGGGUUUCUGGAACCAUCAGAGCCACGGUAAUCUGGUGAUUCUGGGUGGGCCGUCUGGGGGCCUGGGCCUUGCAGCUGUGAAGAAUUCAUUUAAAUUUUCCAUGGAGGGAUUGGCUCCCGGCCAGGCCACGUGAGUUAUUUUGAGGCACUCUGGUCGGUGCUCUCUGCCCUGCCCUCGUCCAAGUAAACGAGCCCCACCGAGUGGGCCUGGAAACCCCACCCAGCCUUGUUUAUGGCCCUGCUGGGCUCUGUGGCUGGUCAGUGGCCAGAAUCUGGCAUCUGCCCCCCAUUCCCUCACCCCAGGCUGGGUGGAGUAGGCACAGGAUGGUAAAAUGUCCU